CCCUUAGACGUUCUGGGCCGCACGCGCGCUACACUGACCAGUGCAACAAGCAUCCGUCCUUGGCCGACAGGCUCGGGCAAUCUUUGAACGCUGGUCGUGAUGGGGAUAGACUUUUGCAAUUUUUGGUCUUCAACGAGGAAUUCCUAGUAAACGCAAGUCAUCAACUUGCAUUGAUUACGUCCCUGCCCUUUGUACACACCGCCCGUCGCACCUACCGAUUGAAUGGUCCGGUGAAGCCUCCGGAUUGGCGCGCACCUCGGUGCCGCCGAGAGGUUGGCUAAACCUUACCAUUUAGAGGAAGGUGAANUCGUAACA
RNAcentral lists this ribosomal RNA (315 nucleotides) under uncultured eukaryote. Its description in RNAcentral is "partial 18S ribosomal RNA". It matches the Rfam family "Eukaryotic small subunit ribosomal RNA", at positions 1470 to 1796 of the family's 1831-position model. The record is from RNAcentral.